This is a long non-coding RNA of Sapajus apella (tufted capuchin), 948 nucleotides long. RefSeq lists it as uncharacterized. The transcript has 3 exons. NCBI's taxonomy places the organism in Eukaryota, Metazoa, Chordata, Mammalia, Primates, Cebidae. The record is from RefSeq and is a predicted model, not a curated record.
UCAUCACUAAUAUUUCCUCUUAAUUUUUCCCAUUUUCUGUGCCAUGCUUCAGUGUUUCUUUGGGUAUGCUGAAAUGUAUUCCACAUGUACUCAUAUACGGACCACAAAUUUGGCAGAAGCAAUGCUGAUGAUUAAACAGCAACAUGAUUGUAUAAGUGUCUUCUUAUCCUACCAUGUGCAUAAUUAUUUUCUAACCAGUUAGUAACUUCACUGUCUUCUUCAGGCAAAUGCAGCUUGAAUUCGUUAAAAGCUCCUGGAAUUUGAUUGGCUGGAAGAAAUGCCAAUGCAAAUGCAUUUUGGUACUGAAACUUUUAUCAUGCCAUAUUGCAUGACCAAUCCACAAGUGUAAUUUUCUGCCAAAUACAAAUAAAGACAAUCACAAGAAUUACAUAAUUGGAGGUAGGAUUUAAGAUUAUUUGGGAACACUGAAUAGGCAAGACUGGAAGUAAGAAGACCAAAUGAAAAAUUCUCACAGUAGUACAGAAGAGGAACAGUUACAAACUGGGAUGGAUGGUGCCCAGCACAGCACUGAACCCUGCAAAAGUACUUAGUCUUCAAAAAAAUACUGAAUUACCCUUGUAAGACUGGAACACUUUGUCUUCUUCCUUAUCCUUGAGGAAAAGUGGUCUAUAUUUCACUAUUAAAUAUAAUGCUAGCUGUAGGAUCUUUUGGAUUUCUCUUAUGUUUUAUAUUUAAUUUAUAAUGUUGAAAAAAUAUAUCAGCAUUCCUACUUUAUUGAUUUUUAUCAUGAAUGUUUGGUGAAUAUUCUCAAAUGUCUUUCUGCUUCUUUUGUGGCUGUCAUAUAAUGUUCCUCCUUUUUAUUAAGGGAAUAAAUUAACUCAUUUAUAUAGAAGGUUUUUUUUUUUCAUGUUAAGACAAGUUUGUCUUCUCUGGGUUUAACUUGUUUUUCUUUAUGUAGCUUGUGAGAGAGAGAGAGAGAGAGAGUGU